CCUACGGGAGGCAGCAGUGAGGAAUAUUGGUCAAUGGGCGGGACUCUGAACCAGCCAAGUAGCGUGAAGGAAGAAGGUACUUAGUAUUGUAAACUUCUUUUGUCGGGGAACAAAGUCGGAGACGCGUCUCCGGAUGCGUGUACCCGAAGAAUAAGCAUCGGCUAAUUCCGUGCCAGCAGCCGCGGUAAUACGGAGGAUGCGAGCGUUAUCCGGAUUUAUUGGGUUUAAAGGGUGCGCAGGCGGGAGAUUAAGGCAGCGGUAAAAUGCCGGGGCUCAACCCCGGCCGGCCGUUGAAAAUGGGUGUCUAGAGUGGGAGAGAGGUAGGCGGAAUUCGUGGUGUAGCGGUGAAAUGCAUAGAUAUCACGAAGAACUCCGAUUGCGAAGGCAGCAUACCGGCGCCAUACUGACGCUGAGGCACGAAGGUGUGGGGAUCGAACAGGAUUAGAUACCCGUGUAGUC
Molecule: ribosomal RNA, 459 nt
Filed under: uncultured bacterium
Lineage: Bacteria
Description: partial 16S ribosomal RNA
Rfam family: Bacterial small subunit ribosomal RNA
Source: RNAcentral